UUCUAAUCCAAAAUUCAACCCUGCCUUGAAAGAGAGAAGAGAGGGUGGCCAUGUUCUGUAUACCAGAAUAUCCCCUUCACCAAAAAGCUGUACAGAGAAGGAGACGUUGAUAGGCUUUGUGGGAGCAUCACUACAUGGAUUGCAGUGGUUCGAGAAGGUGGUUAAUCCUCCAGGAUCAACAAUAAUCGAUGGCCUUCAGUGACGCCUACAUCCCCAAAAUGAAUAUGAAAAAGAGCAGAGGUUGAAUGAAUAGAUACUGUCAGAUGGGAAAACAGCCUGACAAAAUGAAUUGCUUUAAAAUAAGUAUGUGGUGUACUUUUAUUGCUAUAUACCCUUCCUGCCUCUCUUCUCUGUUUCAUAUUUAGCUGCAAAUUUAAAAAGAAACAUUCAUACAUCUUUGAAGAAUCAUAAGAUGUCUUUCCCUUGUUUUUUUUUAAGGCUCAAUUUAAAGCUUACUCAUGUCCCUUAUGUUGAAGGAUCAUUUAAAGAAGCAGACACACCGGUGUCAAAAUUUGUCCAAAUUAGCAAAACAAUUAUAUUGAUUGUGAAUUUUAUACUGGGUCCAAUUUUCAUUUUCAUUGAUGUCAAUCAAUGAAGACCCCCUUCCAAUCUUUGCAGUUCACUCAUACUGGAUACAGAGAGUAAUUACAUGUGAUAAAAUUGUAUUUUAAAUUCAGCUUUUGUAUAUCUCCACCUUCUCUUUUCAUAUAUUUUCUACAGUUUAAAAUUAUGCACUUCCCACUGAUUAUUUACAGACAGUGAAAUUUGCAAUGUUAUUAUGUUUUAAGUGAUAUUCUUCAAUCUAUUGUAGCAGUGUGAUUAAUUUCAUGAUAUGAACCAACUUUAUUGGAGAUUUAAUUAGACAGCCCUUGAAAACGAGCGCAGGACCAAAGUGCCUGAUUAACACCCACAUAUUCAUUGCAUUGUAGAUUGCACAUUAAAUUAAUGCUGUCCGCCUCUUUUCAUAAUUAGUGUGCAACUUGUGCAGUCGACUAAGUACAUCAGCAGUAUAUAAUUUAAAGGUAACUUGUACCUCGUAAAGGGGAAGUACGUUGUAUCUGAAUGAACCAAUAAAAGUGCACUGUGAACAUUA
Long non-coding RNA from Stegostoma tigrinum, 1093 nucleotides. RefSeq lists it as uncharacterized. The record is from RefSeq and is a predicted model, not a curated record. The transcript has 2 exons. NCBI's taxonomy places the organism in Eukaryota, Metazoa, Chordata, Chondrichthyes, Orectolobiformes, Stegostomatidae.